This 120-nucleotide ribosomal RNA is filed under the name Pseudoduganella aquatica. RNAcentral's name for it is "partial 16S ribosomal RNA". It matches the Rfam family "Bacterial small subunit ribosomal RNA", at positions 1419 to 1533 of the family's 1533-position model. Lineage: Bacteria; Pseudomonadati; Pseudomonadota; Betaproteobacteria; Burkholderiales; Oxalobacteraceae. The record is from RNAcentral.
ACCAGAAGUAGGUAGCUUAACCGUAAGGAGGGCGCUUACCACGGUAGGAUUCGUGACUGGGGUGAAGUCGUAACAAGGUAGCCGUAUCGGAAGGUGCGGCUGGAUCACCUCCUUUCUAGA